AUAAUGCCCACGUGUCCAGGACAGGGCUAGGUGGAGAUAAUUAAAUCAUGGGGGUGGUUAUCCCAUACUGUUCUCAUUGUAGUGAAUAAGUUUCACAAGAUCUGAUGGUAUUACAAUGAGAGUACCCCUGCACAAGCUCUCUUGCCUUCCACCAUGUAAGACGUGACUUUGCUCCUCAUUUGUCUUCUACCAUUACUGUGAGGUCUUUCCAGCCAUGUGCAACUGGGAUGGCUUUGCCAGGAAAAGCCCUUCAAUAGCAGCCUGGCCAAAGAUUCUGGGCAAAUAAGUUGGCUGGGUCCAUGGGCAAUCAAGAUUCUGGGACCUGCAAUCAAACUUGCUGCUGGCGUUUGUAAGUGUGCCUUCUACCAGGGGCUAUGGGCUGGCUGUGAGAUACACAGGCCUCUACCAGCAAGAAGUGGGCUGCAAAAGCUGGAGAGUUCUGUAAUGCCCAAUAUGGCCACAGAAUGAGGAAGAACUUCCUAAAGGACUGAAUCAGAAGUCACAGAAAACAAUGGCUACCAGCGGGAUGUUACACUCGGUCUACUGACUCACAUGCAUCUUCUCCAAGAACACCCUCACAGACACACCUGGAGAAGCUCAAGCAUUCUAAUCAAAAUGAAAACCACCUGGAAUUCUCUUUCAGCAGAAGAGGAAUGGGUUCCAUUCCUAUUGAAGCAUUGAGAAUAAAUAACCCUUUACCAGCUACCUGAGUAUUCCUUAAUUCAGUCAAGUUUCAUCCAAAAUCAACUGUUGCAACUUAUUCUGAAAUGUUCAACUAGCUUUACAUUCUUUAGAUUAGGUCCUGCUUGUUCAUGAUAUAUUGUACUUUUGUAUAGAGCUAGAUUUUAUUUAAAAUACUGUGAAGUUUGUUUGAGGCUGAGGUGGGAGAAUCAAUGAGCCCAGGAGGUUGAGGGUGUAGUGAGCCGUGAUUGUGCCACUGUGCUAUCCCCUGGUAACAGAGUGAGACCCUGUCUCAAAUACAUAAAUAAACAAACAAACAAAUAAAUAAAUAAAUAAAUAAAAUUUCUACAUUGUAGCAAAAAAACAAAUAGAAAUUGAAAUCCAAAAUUGUAUAUACAAUUUAAAUUUGAAUUAAAAAGCACAAAGUGCUUACAAAUUUUAAUAAUUUUUGUGUAAGACUAGCACACUAAAAAUUAUGAAAUAAUACUGAAAGGGUGAUAUAAAUAAAUGCAGAGAUUUAUGGUGUUUAUGGAUUGAAAGACUCAAUAUCAUUAAGUUGUUCAUUCUCAAGUCAAUCUGUAGAUUCAAGGUAAGCUUAAUUAAAAUCUCAAGAAAAUUUUUGUUGUUCUUGUCUUGUUACAGUUCUUGUUGCUGAAAAUGAGAAAAGACAAAAGCUUGGCAGAAGUUAUUGAUUAUAUUUAAAUCUAUGGUUAAAUUUACAUAAGAAAAGAUUAAAUGGUGGCAUCAUCAAGAUAGCAGAGUAGGUGAUACCAGGCUUUGUCUUCACCACAAAAAAAGAGAGACAGCUGUUCAAAAACCAAAAUAUCCCCAAGAAAGCUCUAGGGCCUGUAGGAUACAGUAAAUUCCUCUUCAAAGAUUUUAGCCUGUUAACUUCCUUUAACAUUCAAGAGGGGUAAAAUCGUUAAGUACAAUGAGUUCUGAAUUCCUCUUCAGAAAACUAAUGUGUCAGUAUGUUUUGCUUCCCUGUUCUUUGCUCUCCAUUUUAAAGUUUAACUUCCUCGUUCUUAGGCCUCCUUGCCCUUACUUUCAGUAAACAACACCCUGCUAGCCUCUAUCACCUGCGCUGUCCUUAGUCAUCCUUAGUCACCUGCUCUGUAACCGUCCUUCCCACUGAAACUACUCAUCCCACCACUCUGGCUCGUACCCCUGCCGUCUUUGAAACAGCCAAUCUGAAUUAGCUUAGACUGUGCAGUCCAACCCUAGCCAAUAGGGGAAAGAAACAGCAGUAGGGAUUAACUGCUUUAGGGAUAAGAAUCCCUUCCCCUCCCUUGUCCAGUGUGCUCUCCCCAUUGCUCCAUCUGCGAGACACACCCUUCUAUAGAAGUAAAUUUGCCGCCGGGCAUGGUGGCUCACGCCUGUAAUCCCAGAACUUUGGGAGGCGGAGGCGGCCGGAUCACAUG
This 2102-nucleotide long non-coding RNA is filed under the name Homo sapiens (human). RNAcentral describes it as "HSALNT0186167". Lineage: Eukaryota; Metazoa; Chordata; Mammalia; Primates; Hominidae. The record is from RNAcentral.